This 1427-nucleotide long non-coding RNA is filed under the name Phoenix dactylifera (date palm). RNAcentral's name for it is "long non-coding RNA (PDAC_LNC000786)". The record is from RNAcentral. Lineage: Eukaryota; Viridiplantae; Streptophyta; Magnoliopsida; Arecales; Arecaceae.
CGUGCUCUUCUCCGUUGCGGGCUUGUUGCCGAGUAUGGCAACCAGAAUCCAUAGCGGAAGUUUGGCUCUGGCGUGCCAUUUGUCCGUGUAUUGACUAUUAGAGAGAGAGAGAGAGAGAGAGAGAGAGCUUACGUCACCCUCGCCUUCUAUUAUUCCCCUUUUUUCCCCUCUUCCUCCGAGGCUCUCUUAUCGUUAAAAGCUUGGGCCUUGCUGCUCUCCUUCCGCCCCUUUUCCCGUUCACGCUUCCAAGACCUGGAAAUUUCUCCAGGUAUCUUCCUCUCCAUCUCUUCCUGCUUGUUUGGCGAUUUAUGCCGAUCUUCCUCUCCAUCUCUUCCUGCCUUUUUGGGGGAUUUAUGCCGAUUUUUAUGCACUUUUCCACACGAGGCAUGUGAUUUCGUAUGGUUUCGUGUCUAUUUAAUCUGGUAUCUUCAUUUCGUUUGCUCCAAGAUGCGAUUUUUCUCUUGCAGGUUGACAUUAUUUUUGAUUUGUGGUUUCUUAGUUAUUGUUUUGUGCUAUUCAUCUUAUAUACCUAAAUCUGUUAGUUUGAAGCGCACCAAGAUUAAUUUUUGGAUUGAUUUAUUGCCGUAUUGUGCUUCUUAUUUUGAUUUUUUGCCCCUACUUGGGUUGUUUCUUUCGUUCUUUAAGGUGUCUGUUAUACCUCAUUGGUUUUUAAGGGUUGAGGAGCUGUGAAUAUGGAACCCUAGAAACUUAUGCAAUCAUGUGGCUAGUCAGUGAACGAAGAAAAAACUAAAUAGAUGGCCGGGUUGUUGUCUGUGAAGCUAUAUUUUCUUGGAGCACAUGUUUGUGGUGUGAGCAGAAAUUACAGAUUUCAUGUUGUCAAGCAAUAAAAUUGAUGAAUUAGUCUAGUAAUACUUGAUUUCUUUUUGGAAAAUUUUCGUGAACCGGUCUUAUUAUUUUAAGUUAAUGAGCACACUUGACAUCUAUUCUCCUACCAGAAAUUCCGUUCUUGCCUUAUUAACUUGUCAUUUGUUUUCGUUGAAGGAAAUGCUUACUAUGGCACUUAUUUAGGUGACGCAUCGAAAGCAUGUGUUUGACUUGAUGUAUGGAUCGGGUUCUAUGUGGUUCAUCUAGCAAGUUUUUUUUGCUUUGUUACAUACGGUCUCCCACAGUGUUUUGGUGCGAAAUGGGCAUGACUUCAUUUUAGAGGCUCUCUUAUCGUUAAAAGCUUGGGCCUUGCUGCUCUCCUUCCGCCCCUUUUCCCGUUCACGCUUCCAAGACCUGGAAAUUUCUCCCUUUCCCCCCUCACUCAAGGUAGGAUUUUCCAUCCUGUGGCAUGCUAUUUAAUCUUGCAAUGUAGAUCGAUAAAAAGUCUCUUGCCAAGUAGAAUGCUAGUAUUCAGCAACCCACAUAUCAUCAGUAAGUUGCCCUCUACUGCAGGCUAAAACAUUAUAAUGGUCAAGCUAACU